Molecule: long non-coding RNA, 241 nt
Organism: Teleopsis dalmanni
Lineage: Eukaryota; Metazoa; Arthropoda; Insecta; Diptera; Diopsidae
Exons: 3
Source: RefSeq, a predicted model, not a curated record
ACCUGAAUAUGUGAUAGGUGAUACUCAAUCAAAUAUCUUAACAUAUAUACAAAUCGAAAUGUCGUUAAAUAUAAAUUAAAAUAUAGGACUAAAUACCUAUAGUUACACUGCAUAAUUAACAACUCCAAGUAGAUACAUGCGGUAGUUGUUAUAAGACCUAAAUCAAGAUCUACAAAAAUGUAUUAUUAUUCUGGAGCAAAAGUGUAAUUAUUUUAAUACAAUACUAGGACAAUAUUGAACA